GAGGGUAUAACUCAGUGGUAGACGGCAUGCCUAGCAUGUGUGAGGUCCUGGGUUCAAUCCCCAGUACCUCCA
Camelus ferus (Wild Bactrian camel) is the source of this 72-nucleotide transfer RNA. It matches the Rfam family "tRNA". Rfam says of the family: Transfer RNA (tRNA) molecules are approximately 80 nucleotides in length. Their secondary structure includes four short double-helical elements and three loops (D, anti-codon, and T loops). Further hydrogen bonds mediate the characteristic L-shaped molecular structure. tRNAs have two regions of fundamental functional importance: the anti-codon, which is responsible for specific mRNA codon recognition, and the 3' end, to which the tRNAs corresponding amino acid is attached (by aminoacyl-tRNA synthetases). tRNAs cope with the degeneracy of the genetic code in two manners: having more than one tRNA (with a specific anti-codon) for a particular amino acid; and 'wobble' base-pairing, i.e. permitting non-standard base-pairing at the 3rd anti-codon position. The record is from Rfam. NCBI's taxonomy places the organism in Eukaryota, Metazoa, Chordata, Mammalia, Artiodactyla, Camelidae.